GCCCCGGUGGCUAAGCCCGGUUAUAGCAGCGGCCUUGUAAGCCGCAGGUCGCGGGUUCAAAUCCCGCCCGGGGCUCCA
RNAcentral lists this transfer RNA (78 nucleotides) under Candidatus Bathyarchaeota archaeon. RNAcentral describes it as "tRNA-Thr". It matches the Rfam family "tRNA". From Rfam's summary of the family: Transfer RNA (tRNA) molecules are approximately 80 nucleotides in length. Their secondary structure includes four short double-helical elements and three loops (D, anti-codon, and T loops). Lineage: Archaea; Thermoproteati; Candidatus Bathyarchaeota. The record is from RNAcentral. RNAcentral also lists the same sequence under 1 other name.